Molecule: RNase P RNA, 390 nt
Filed under: Chloroflexota bacterium
Lineage: Bacteria; Bacillati; Chloroflexota
Description: Chloroflexi bacterium (oil production facility metagenome) RNase P RNA component class A
Rfam family: Bacterial RNase P class A
About the family: Ribonuclease P (RNase P) is a ubiquitous endoribonuclease, found in archaea, bacteria and eukarya as well as chloroplasts and mitochondria. Its best characterised activity is the generation of mature 5'-ends of tRNAs by cleaving the 5'-leader elements of precursor-tRNAs. Cellular RNase Ps are ribonucleoproteins.
Source: RNAcentral
CGAGGGGGCCAGGUGGCCGCGGGCGCGUGGGGUAACCUACGGCGCCUGAGGAAAGUCCGAACUCCACAGAGCACGAUGCUGGGUAACACCCAGGCGGGGCGACCCGACGGAAUAGUGCCACAGAAAAUAGGUAGCCCUCUGCAGGGGGAACCCCACUGCAGAGGGUCAUAGUGAAAAGGUGGUGUAAGAGACCACCGGCGGGCCAGGUGACUGGCCCGGCCAGGCAAACCCCAUCGGGAGCAAGGCCAAGCAGGAGGUGCCCAAGGGCUAAACCCUUUGGGCCGGGGGCUGCUCGUCCCUGACUCUCCAGGUAGGCCGCCUAGAGAGAUGGCCACCGGCCCACGGAUGCCCCGUGGGCUACAGAAUUCGGCUUAUCGGCCCGCUCGCUCG